RNAcentral lists this transfer RNA (73 nucleotides) under Felis catus (domestic cat). It matches the Rfam family "tRNA". From Rfam's summary of the family: Transfer RNA (tRNA) molecules are approximately 80 nucleotides in length. Their secondary structure includes four short double-helical elements and three loops (D, anti-codon, and T loops). RNAcentral also lists the same sequence under 2 other names. Lineage: Eukaryota; Metazoa; Chordata; Mammalia; Carnivora; Felidae. The record is from Rfam by way of RNAcentral.
ACCUGGCUGGCUCAGUCUGUAGAGCAUGAGACUCUUGAUCUUAGGGUCAUGAGUUCAAGCCCCAUGUUGGCUG